This is a long non-coding RNA of Columba livia (rock pigeon), 651 nucleotides long. RefSeq lists it as uncharacterized. The record is from RefSeq and is a predicted model, not a curated record. The transcript is spliced from 4 exons. NCBI's taxonomy places the organism in Eukaryota, Metazoa, Chordata, Aves, Columbiformes, Columbidae.
CUAUUCAUUCCUUGGAGUGUAGGAAUAACUCAUUUCUCAUUUCCACCACUAUUAAAUGCUUCUAGCACUUUAAAUACAAGGCCACGAAUCCCAUGGUUCCCCAGGGCAUUUCUCAGGAAUACAAAGAGCGAGCUCAGAGGUUUUGAGAAGGCCAUGUCUCUGGGGAAAUAUUUAGCAGAGGUACUGAAGUACAGGACUGCUCAUAUAUCUACUGGUUGAAAACCUUCAUACUCUGGUGAUAGGUCCGCUAGCUUGUCCAAAAGAUGGCCUCUCUCCGAUGCAUCCAUCCUCCUCCAGACUGAACCCAGAGAGAAGGCAAGGCGAGCUGCCCUCACGGCUUUGUCUGUAUCAGCCUGUCAAGAAGGAAGAAAAAAGAAGAAAGGUAUUGAGGUGGGAAAGUGGAUCCUAGUUAAAAGUCCUGCCCAAGACAGGACUCCAAGCUGAAGACUCCCAUUAUCUAUAAAUCACUUGUAUUUCCUGCAGCGAAAAAAGGAGGGAAGAGGAGAUGCCAAGUGAAAUAUUUGAUACCUGUCCUAAAGCAAAUUUCUCUCAAAAGCAACCAGGAGUUACCUGAUACCUCAAAACCAAGCUUAGAAGAAACAUGUUGCUGUCGAUUUUGGCUUGAUAUUGAAAUAAAACAACUUCAUCUUA